GGGGGGGGGGGGGGGGGGGGGGGGGGCGUGGGGGUCGGGGGGGAGGGCGCUGGUGUUGGGGGGGGCUCGAGUGGCGAACGGGUGAGUAACACGUGAGUAACCUGCCCUUGACUUUGGGAUAACUUCAGGAAACUGGGGCUAAUACCGGAUAGGAGCUCCUGCUGCAUGGUGGGGGUUGGAAAGUUUCGGCGGUUGGGGAUGGACUCGCGGCUUAUCAGCUUGUUGGUGGGGUAGUGGCUUACCAAGGCUUUGACGGGUAGCCGGCCUGAGAGGGUGACCGGCCACAUUGGGACUGAGAUACGGCCCAGACUCCUACGGGAGGCAGCAGUGGGGAAUAUUGCACAAUGGGCGGAAGCCUGAUGCAGCAACGCCGCGUGCGGGAUGACGGCCUUCGGGUUGUAAACCGCUUUCGCCUGUGACGAAGCGUGAGUGACGGUAAUGGGUAAAGAAGCGCCGGCUAACUACGUG
This 468-nucleotide ribosomal RNA is filed under the name uncultured bacterium. RNAcentral describes it as "partial 16S ribosomal RNA". The stretch from base 48 to 468 matches the Rfam family "Bacterial small subunit ribosomal RNA", at positions 34 to 507 of the family's 1533-position model. The record is from RNAcentral.